This 253-nucleotide ribosomal RNA is filed under the name uncultured bacterium. RNAcentral's name for it is "partial 16S ribosomal RNA". It matches the Rfam family "Bacterial small subunit ribosomal RNA", at positions 524 to 776 of the family's 1533-position model. The record is from RNAcentral.
UACGUAGGGGGCAAGCGUUGUCCGGAAUCAUUGGGCGUAAAGCGCGUGUAGGCGGCCCGGUAAGUCCGCUGUGAAAGUCGGGGGCUCAACCCUCGAAUGCCGGUGGAUACUGUCGGGCUAGAGUGCGGAAGAGGCGAGUGGAAUUCCUGGUGUAGCGGUGAAAUGCGCAGAUAUCGUAAGGAAGACCAGUGGCGAAGGCGGGUCUCUGGACAGUUCCUGACGCUGAGGCACGAAGGCCAGGGGAGCAAACGGG